GAUGGUAGGUAUGGAGAGCGAUGAAGAGAUCAGAAGAGUCCCAGAGAUCGGCGGCGAACCCGCGGGAACGUCAGCUUCCGGAAGAGAACUCGUGUCGACGGGCGGUCCUGACCGAGUACAGCAGUUAGGAGAAGGUCAGAGGAAGAGAGGCAGAAGCCCAGCUGACAAAGAAAACAAGAGAUUGAAGAGGUAAAAAUUAAAUUAAAAAUAAAAAGUUGAUGUCAACUUCACCGUUUUGCCCUUCCAAGAUUUUACCAAUGCUGUGGCAUUUCGAUUUGGAUUUGUGCACGACGCAGGUUGUUGAGGAACAGAGUGUCAGCUCAGCAAGCAAGAGAGAGGAAAAAGGCGUACUUGAAUGAGUUGG
RNAcentral lists this long non-coding RNA (364 nucleotides) under Citrus sinensis (sweet orange). RNAcentral's name for it is "long non-coding RNA (CSIN_LNC002806)". Lineage: Eukaryota; Viridiplantae; Streptophyta; Magnoliopsida; Sapindales; Rutaceae. The record is from RNAcentral.